GGUCCUUUUGCAUUGUUGACAAGUAAGGUUCUUUACCAAACAUUACCCAACCACUGGAAAGUUGGUUUAUGAUCUAAAACUUGUGGGGUUCACUAAUAGCAGAAGCAUGUCCGGUCCUGCUCUAAGUAAGGUUCUUUACCAAACAUUACCCAACCACUGGAAAGUUGGUUUAUGAUCUAAAACUUGUGGGGUUCACUAAUAGCAGAAGCAUGUCCGGUCCUGCUCUGAUGCCAUAGCUCAAACAAAGGAAUCCAAAGCACACC
RNAcentral lists this long non-coding RNA (263 nucleotides) under Elaeis guineensis (African oil palm). Its description in RNAcentral is "long non-coding RNA (EGUI_LNC006013)". Lineage: Eukaryota; Viridiplantae; Streptophyta; Magnoliopsida; Arecales; Arecaceae. The record is from RNAcentral.